UAUGUGAUCGUCUCUCGCAUAUCAAUAAGCGGAGGAAAAGAAACUAACAAGGAUUCCCCUAGUAACAGGCGAGUGAAGCGGGAAGAGCUCAAAUUUGAAAUCUUAAAGGGUUUCCCUUUACGAAUUGUAGUUUAAAGAAGUGUUUUCUGUUGAGGUUUUGGUAAAAGUUCUUUGGAAUAGGACAUCAUAGAGGGUGAGAAUCCCGUAUUUGACCUUUACUUUCAACUUUGUGAUACUACUUUCAAAGAGUCGGAUUGUUUGGGAAUGCAGUCCAAAAUGGGUGGUAAAUUUCAUCUAAAGCUAAAUAUUGGCGAGAGACCGAUAGCGAACAAGUACCGUGAGGGAAAGAUGAAAAGAACUUUGAAAAGAGAGUUAAACAGUACGUGAAAUUGUCAAAAGGGAAGCGUUUGACACCAGUGUUGUUUUUCUGAAAAUCAAUUAAAGAACUGUUUAUGCUAAGCUGUUUAGACUUUAUCAGCUAACUGUUUAGUUUUGAGCUUUUCUUUAAUGCACUUUUCAGUUAACAAGUCAACAUCAAUUUCUUUUGCUGUAAAAAAGCUUGAGGAAGGUGGCUUGAGAUUCGUCUUAAGUGUUUAUAGCCUCUUGCCUAUGCAGUCGGAGAGAUUGAGGUCUGCAGCGUAGAUCCUUCGGGGCUAAAUGCAUUUGUGCUAAGUUAUAGCAUUUUAUAGACAACUUGUUGACUAUGAUUUGUCUUGUAGCUUACUCGCUUAUGUUAUUUUACCUACGCUUAGGAUGUUGAGUAGCGACAUACGCAC
RNAcentral lists this ribosomal RNA (776 nucleotides) under uncultured Neocallimastigales. Its description in RNAcentral is "partial large subunit ribosomal RNA". It matches the Rfam family "Eukaryotic large subunit ribosomal RNA", at positions 24 to 649 of the family's 3401-position model. Lineage: Eukaryota; Fungi; Neocallimastigomycota; Neocallimastigomycetes; Neocallimastigales. The record is from RNAcentral.